Molecule: non-coding RNA, 148 nt
Filed under: Homo sapiens (human)
Lineage: Eukaryota; Metazoa; Chordata; Mammalia; Primates; Hominidae
Source: Rfam by way of RNAcentral
GCCGGGCGUGGUGGUGUGUGCCUGUAGUCCCAGCUACUCAGGAGGCUGAGGCAGGAGAAUCACUUGAACCCAGGAAGUGGAGGUUGCAGUGAGCCAAGAUCACGCCACUGCACUCCAGCCUGGGUGAUAGAGUGAGACUCUGUCUCAA